Molecule: non-coding RNA, 57 nt
Organism: Bos taurus (domestic cattle)
Lineage: Eukaryota; Metazoa; Chordata; Mammalia; Artiodactyla; Bovidae
Source: Rfam
UGGCUCAGAUGGUAAAGCAUCUGCCUAUAAUGCAGGAGACCCAGGUUCGAUCCCUGG